Long non-coding RNA from Capsicum annuum, 729 nucleotides. RefSeq lists it as uncharacterized. The transcript has 4 exons. NCBI's taxonomy places the organism in Eukaryota, Viridiplantae, Streptophyta, Magnoliopsida, Solanales, Solanaceae. The record is from RefSeq and is a predicted model, not a curated record.
UCCAAAAAGCAAUAACAAGAAGGACUAAAGGCCUAAUCAAAAAAAUAAAACUAGUAAUUACAAAGUAAGAACAUCAAAGGCCUUUUCCGAAAAGAGCUUCGGUUCAGAUGCACUAUAUCUACCUGUGAGUUGUUGUGUCUGAGAAGCUUGUUCAAUUGACUUCUCCAAGGUACUAGAACUUGCCUAAAGAUGAAAGCCUGAAGGUUAUUGCCGGAACCGUCACACUUCUUCUUCCUACCCCGCUGGAUAAUUUUCUCUCUUAAGUCACAUGGAUCCUCCGCUCUUAACUCUAUACUGAGAUUUCACUGCUCCAAGGUAGAUUGGGAACAUCCACUUUACCAUAGAUCUGAGUAAGGUUGUCGUCGUGAAAUAGUAGAUUCCUUCUUUAGUUGUUGAAUUGUUCGUUGUGAGAAGGCUGUUGUAUCCUGGAGGGGACAAGUCAAGAAGAUUACUACUGGACCGGUGAAACAAUUUGCUGCAGUGGGCUUGAAUCUCUUUAAAGAGAGAGAUUCCAAUGGAAACAACUGAAAAAUCUAUGGAUGUCAAGAUGGGAGAUCUUAACAAGCCAUGCCGGUUCAACGGUACUCAUUUCAAAAGGUGGAAGGAUAAAGUUCUUUUCUACUUAAUUCUUCUCAAUGUUUCAUAUGUCUUAACUUAGAAGAAUCCAAACAAAGUAGAUAACUCUUCCAUGACUGAUGAAGAACUCAUUUCUCUUCAAGAAAAAGUUCA